CACAGUUGCUACGCUUUACGCAAACGCCUUUCCUUUGUUAUGCGUCAGGUCGCGCGAUCAUGUUCCUUUAUGAACUGCGCCCACAAACAAAAUAAACAAAUGAUCUAAAAAAACACAAAGUUGGGGGGAAGGUGGACCUUGCGUGCUUUACCUGAUUAAGCGUCCUUUUAAAGCGAUUUUGGGUACAACAAGCAUUAUAAGGAACUUUUAAAUGACAUCGGCAUGGGUAGGUCCUACGAUUUCAUCAGAUUGGUGCUAUAGCUAGCUAUACACAUGUCGAUCACGUUGAUGACCUAUAAAAAAUCUUCCUCUGGAGGGACCUCAUUAACAUGGGCUAACAGGUGCGCAAUGACAUACGGAAACAAUAAACAGGCUUGAUACGAGUAUGUUCAUGAGGUUUGGUGUUCGUUGUCGCUCUAAGAUUGAGUCCGAGACACAACUCCAAACAAAUCUGGUCUGUGAGCUCUAUCUCAGAUACAGUCUGAUUAAUACUUCUUACUUGAGAACUAUAACGAGACUCAAUCUCAGAUGACUCUUGCCUCCCAUUUGUAACCUACAUAUUGAUGUUUUUAGAUGUUGUA
Molecule: long non-coding RNA, 581 nt
Organism: Papaver somniferum (opium poppy)
Lineage: Eukaryota; Viridiplantae; Streptophyta; Magnoliopsida; Ranunculales; Papaveraceae
Exons: 2
Source: RefSeq, a predicted model, not a curated record